GGAUACAAUAAAAUUAUAUCUAAACGUUACUGUGUGUGUUUUCAUUGAAAAAUAAUACAUGAAAAUAUUUUAUAAAUUACCUGCACUAUAGCAAUAUGUGCGGCUAUAUAAAGAGCCACCAGCAGGAAAUAAUCGCGGGAAUAGUUUGUGGUAUCGGUGGUUCAUCUGCUGAGUAAAAAGAUAAGAAAAGGAAAAUGGAUCGGGUGCUUGUCACAGUUGCUGCUGGCAUUAUGUACCUUAAGGCUGAAGAAGAAGCAGCGCAACUGAGAAGAUCCGGAAGAGAAGAGCCAGAAUGAAGAUGAGGGGGAGGAGACGUGCCUUGAUGGCGUGCCUUCUUCACUCAGUACAUUUUUAAAAAUAACUAAUAGCCGACGCUGCCUGUCGCCUGGGGGACGUCGUAUGGUAAGGUCAUCGUAUAAUGAUCUUCCCGGACUACUCAAAGUUGCUGAGUGAGAAGCGGAAUAAGUUUAAUGAGUGCAAGAAGCUUCUGCACAACAAACGUAUUGGUUUCUCCUUAAUUUACCCAGCAGUGCUUGUUGUGAAAGCUCCUCAGGGAUCCCGUUGCUUCGAGGACCAUAAAAAAGCAAUGACUUUCAUUCGCCCCAUGGUGUAAAACUGGUUUGUUUGCCUGUUUGUUUUUGUCGUUUUUUUGUUGGGGUUUUUUUCCCUUCAUCUGUCGCUUUUGUUUAUUUUUCUGGGUAGUAAUUUUCUCCUGUUUUGUUUUUUGUUCUUUGUUUGUUUGUUUUUGUUUUUGUUGUUUGUUUGUUUGUUUGUUUGUUUUUGUUUUUCCUAGACCCCAAAGUACUGGAAAAGGUCGUGGCUCCAAAACUCCAUUAAUAAAACCUUAUUAAUGGAGUUUUUAUUAUGUUUAGAGAGAGAUACAAAUGAUGAUUAUUACGUGCUCGCUUCAUUUUCGUAUUAAGGACAAUUCUGGAGGUUAACUCAGACCUCUUCUCUAAACUGAAUUGGACACAAGGUGGAGUGGUGAGUUCAUACCCUUAGUGGAUCUAUUGUACUGUGUCCAUUCUCAAUGUUCUGUUUGUUAAACUGUAUUAUGAGCAUUAAACUAGAACAAAGUUUGGUUUGGAAUGUAUGUUUUAUAGAUAAGACUGUAGAUCCAGUAUAUUCGAUUGCGGAAUUUUUUAUUUUUUUAUUUACACAUUAACAAGAGAAUUCUCAGUAAAACCAAAGUUACUUUCCCUAGUAACUAGUAAAGCAGGGCGAUAUGACCAAAAAUAUUUAUCACGAUAUACAUUUGAAAAUUUGCGAUAACGAUAUAACUGACGAUAUAAUUGACACUAGACAAAAUACUUUACAACUCCACUACUUUAUUAGUGAAAAAAAACCCAUAAAUGUAUUUUCACUUAAACAAGCAGCUGUUUUUUAUGUGCA
This is a long non-coding RNA of Astatotilapia calliptera (eastern happy), 1392 nucleotides long. Lineage: Eukaryota; Metazoa; Chordata; Actinopteri; Cichliformes; Cichlidae. The record is from Ensembl.